This 430-nucleotide ribosomal RNA is filed under the name uncultured bacterium. RNAcentral describes it as "bacterial SSU rRNA". It matches the Rfam family "Bacterial small subunit ribosomal RNA", at positions 355 to 801 of the family's 1533-position model. The record is from RNAcentral.
UGGGGAAUAUUGGACAAUGGGCGCAAGCCUGAUCCAGCCAUGCCGCGUGAGUGAUGAAGGCCCUAGGGUUGUAAAGCUCUUUCGACGGGGACGAUAAUGACGGUACCCGUAGAAGAAGCCCCGGCUAACUUCGUGCCAGCAGCCGCGGUAAUACGAAGGGGGCUAGCGUUGUUCGGAAUCACUGGGCGUAAAGCGCACGCAGGCGGAUCGUUAAGUCAGGGGUGAAAUCCCGAGGCUCAACCUCGGAACUGCCUUUGAUACUGGCGAUCUUUGAGUCCGGGAGAGGUGAGUGGAACUCCGAGUGUAGAGGUGAAAUUCGUAGAUAUCAAGAGGAACACCUGAGGCGAAGGCGGGUUNCUGGGCUGAUACUGACGCUGAGGCGCGAAAGCUAGGGUAGCAAACGGGAUUAGAUACCCACGUAGUCCCUGAG